GCCAAAUUUGGGGUCCAGAGGGGCCAAAUUUGGGGCUCAGGUGCCAAAUUUGGGGUCCAGAGGGGCCAAAUUUGGGGCUCAGGUGCCGAAUUUGGGGUCCAGAGGUGCCAAAUUUGGGGUUCAGGUGCCAAAUCUGGGGUUCAGGUGCCGAAUUUGGGGUCCAGAGGUGCCAAAUUCGGGGCUCAGGUGCCGAAUUUGGGGUCCAGAGGUGCCAAAUUUGGGGUUCAGGUGCCAAAUUUGGGGUUCAGGUGCCAAAUUUGGGGUCCAGAGGUGCCAAACUUAGGGCUCAGGUGCCGAAUUUGGGGUUCAGAGGUGCCGAAUUUGGGGUUCAGGUGCCAAAUUUGGGGUUCAGAGGUGCCAAAUUCGGGGCUCAGGUGCCACCUGCAGGGCUCCAAGGUGCCCCCGUGCCCAGCU
Long non-coding RNA from Serinus canaria (Common canary), 414 nucleotides. RefSeq lists it as uncharacterized. The record is from RefSeq and is a predicted model, not a curated record. The transcript has 3 exons. NCBI's taxonomy places the organism in Eukaryota, Metazoa, Chordata, Aves, Passeriformes, Fringillidae.